RNAcentral lists this ribosomal RNA (198 nucleotides) under uncultured bacterium. RNAcentral's name for it is "partial 16S ribosomal RNA". It matches the Rfam family "Bacterial small subunit ribosomal RNA", at positions 1303 to 1500 of the family's 1533-position model. The record is from RNAcentral.
GGCUGCAACUCGCCUACAUGAAGUUGGAAUCGCUAGUAAUCGCGAAUCAGAAUGUCGCGGUGAAUACGUUCCCGGGUCUUGUACACACCGCCCGUCACACCAUGGGAGCCGGUAAUACCCGAAGUCAGUAGUCUAACCGCAAGGAGGACGCUGCCGAAGGUAGGAUUGGCGACUGGGGUGAAGUCGUAACAAGGUAAC